AACGAACGCUGGCGGCAUGCCUAACACAUGCAAGUCGAACGAGACCUUCGGGUCUAGUGGCGCACGGGUGCGUAACGCGUGGGAACCUGCCCUUAGGUUCGGAAUAACUCCCCGAAAGGGGUGCUAAUACCGGAUAAUGUCUUCGGACCAAAGAUUUAUCGCCUUUGGGUGGGCCCGCGUUGGAUUAGCUAGUUGGUAGGGUAAAAGCCUACCAAGGCGACGAUCCAUAGCUGGUCUGAGAGGAUGAUCAGCGACACUGGGACUGAGACACGGCCCAGACUCCUACGGGAGGCAGCAGUGGGGAAUAUUGGAAAAUGGGCGAAAGCAUGAUCCAGCAAUGCCGCGUGAGUGAUGAAGGCCUUAGGGUUGUAAAGCUCUUUUACCCGGGAUGAUAAUGACAGUACCGGGAGAAUAAGCUCCGGCUAACUCCGUG
Molecule: ribosomal RNA, 433 nt
Filed under: uncultured bacterium
Lineage: Bacteria
Description: partial 16S ribosomal RNA
Rfam family: Bacterial small subunit ribosomal RNA
Source: RNAcentral